This 460-nucleotide ribosomal RNA is filed under the name uncultured bacterium. RNAcentral's name for it is "partial 16S ribosomal RNA". It matches the Rfam family "Bacterial small subunit ribosomal RNA", at positions 338 to 795 of the family's 1533-position model. The record is from RNAcentral.
CCUACGGGAGGCAGCAGUGAGGAAUAUUGGUCAAUGGACGAGAGUCUGAACCAGCCAAGUAGCGUGAAGGAUGACUGCCCUAUGGGUUGUAAACUUCUUUUAUAUGGGAAUAAAAUGUUCCACGUGUGGGAUUUUGUAUGUACCAUAUGAAUAAGGAUCGGCUAACUCCGUGCCAGCAGCCGCGGUAAUACGGAGGUUCCGAGCGUUAUCCGGAUUUAUUGGGUUUAAAGGGAGCGUAGGUGGAUUGUUAAGUCAGUUGUGAAAGUUUGCGGCGCAACCGUAAAAUUGCAGUUGAAACUGGCAGUCUUGAGUACAGUAGAGGUGGGCGGAAUUCGUGGUGUAGCGGUGAAAUGCUUAGAUAGCACGAAGAACUCCGAUUGCGAAGGCAGUUCACUGGACUGCAACUGACACUGAGGCUCGAAAGUGUGGGUAUCAAACAGGAUUAGAUACCCUGGUAGUC